RNAcentral lists this long non-coding RNA (362 nucleotides) under Taeniopygia guttata (zebra finch). Its description in RNAcentral is "lncRNA (ENSTGUG00000028037.1)". Lineage: Eukaryota; Metazoa; Chordata; Aves; Passeriformes; Estrildidae. The record is from RNAcentral.
CACCAAGAGAAGUUUAAAUUUAUAUUAAUGAAUGCCUGUAUGAUGAUGGCAAAGUCCAAUGCAUAUUUCAGGAAAGAAUGCUGAAGGACAGCUAUGCAGAGAAAGCUUUCCUGGAAUCACUGCUGAAGGAGCCAUUGUAGCUCUGACUUUAUUUUUUUCUGGAGAGCAGAUUACAAAGCACCUUACAUUCAAAAGCUCAAUGCUGAAGCUAUUAGAAACAUCCACCAGAGUGCCAGCUGCCCCUUGGAAGAGAAGUGAUCCAAGGUUUUUUCAGCUUAAGCACCAGAUUCAAGACUUUGAUUUCAAAUGGCCAUGGAAAACCAAAGCAAACUCCUUAGGUACUGAGUUUCUCAGAACAGAGC